Molecule: ribosomal RNA, 612 nt
Filed under: Vuilleminia comedens
Lineage: Eukaryota; Fungi; Basidiomycota; Agaricomycetes; Corticiales; Vuilleminiaceae
Description: SSU rRNA
Rfam family: Bacterial small subunit ribosomal RNA
Source: RNAcentral
CAAGAAUAUUAGCAAUGCUCGCAAGAGUGAACUAGCUAACUGAAAUCAUUAAUGUUUCACGAUCAUUAGUGAUGUCGUAAAGGAAAAUAAUGAUGAUACUUUACUAUGAGCGUUGUCCAAGACUAGUGCCAGAAGACUCGGUAAGGCUAGGGACGCAAACGUUAACCGUCUUAAACAGGCGUAAAGGGUAUGUAGGCAGCUUUAAGCAUUUAAUUUUCAUUUUAGCUAACUUAUACAAUCUAUUUAAAAAGUAUAAAAUUAACUAUAAUUAAAAAAAAAUCAAUUAAAGCUAGAAUCUAAAUGGGGAUACACUAAAUAAUGCUUAGAGUAGGGCUAAGAUCCGUAAAAACUAAGUGGAAUAUUAAAGGCGUAGGCUUUUUAUCCUGUAAAGAUUGACGCUGAGAAACGAAGGUGAGGAUAGGAAAUAGGAUUAGAGACCCUACUACCCCUCUCUGUCAACAAUGAAUGGUAACUGUUAGAUUUAAAAAUAUUAAUCUGAUGGUGAGGCUAACGCGAGAACCAUUCCGCCUUGUGAGUACGGCUGCAAAGCUGAAAUCAAAAAAAUUAGUCGGUCUCGAAGCAAACGAAGUGAAGCAUGGUAUUUAAUUCGAU